GUUUUAAUAAUUUAACAAAAAUACUGGUCUUGUAAAUCAGAAAUAAGCUUUUUUGCUUUUAAAACU
RNAcentral lists this transfer RNA (66 nucleotides) under Melolontha hippocastani. Its description in RNAcentral is "tRNA-Thr". The record is from RNAcentral. Lineage: Eukaryota; Metazoa; Arthropoda; Insecta; Coleoptera; Scarabaeidae.